AGUCCCGUAGGCAAGUCCGGUUCAAGCCGUCAGCCCCUCAAGCUGAAGACGCGGGUUCAAAUCCCGUCGGGACUCCCA
This 78-nucleotide transfer RNA is filed under the name Moorena sp. SIO2B7. RNAcentral describes it as "tRNA-Glu". It matches the Rfam family "tRNA". Rfam says of the family: Transfer RNA (tRNA) molecules are approximately 80 nucleotides in length. Lineage: Bacteria; Bacillati; Cyanobacteriota; Cyanophyceae; Coleofasciculales; Coleofasciculaceae. The record is from RNAcentral.